RNAcentral lists this ribosomal RNA (253 nucleotides) under uncultured bacterium. RNAcentral's name for it is "partial 16S ribosomal RNA". It matches the Rfam family "Bacterial small subunit ribosomal RNA", at positions 524 to 776 of the family's 1533-position model. The record is from RNAcentral.
UACAGAGGCCUCGAGCGUUAGGCGGAAUCACUGGGCUUAAAGCGUGUGUAGGCGGAUCGUUAAGUGCCUUGUGAAAUCCCACGGCUCAACCGUGGAACUGCUGGGCAUACUGGCGGUCUUGAGCCACCUAAGGGCAACUGGAACAGACGGUGGAGCGGUGAAAUGCGUAGAUAUCGUCUGGAACGCCAAUGGUGAAGACAGGUUGCUGGGGGUGCGCUGACGCUGAGACACGAAAGCCAGGGGAGCAAACGGG